This is a long non-coding RNA of Pan troglodytes (chimpanzee), 891 nucleotides long. RefSeq lists it as uncharacterized. NCBI's taxonomy places the organism in Eukaryota, Metazoa, Chordata, Mammalia, Primates, Hominidae. The record is from RefSeq and is a predicted model, not a curated record. The transcript is spliced from 7 exons.
GCAUAGAAGCUCAGAGCUCUUCGCUUACGAUUUUCUCAUCUCCCUGGCUCAAGCCUAGUUGCUAGUGUGCAUUUCUGGUGCUCAAGAUGGCAAGAUUAGGCUUACACCGUGAGUGCACAGAAAGGUAACCUUGAGACUCUCCCAUGUGGAUUCACGUGUGUGAAGAAAGAGCUCUGCUGGAGUCUACAGAAGGCACACACAAUGGAGAGCUCUGGCUUUAAGGAUGCCACAGGCGGAAACUGACAAAGAGCAUGCUGCUUCCCUUCCUUGCGUGGAAAUACCAUGAUCAUUAAAAAUAUUGAAGACAUCAAACAAGUGGCUGAUGCUCCUGUCCCUCUUCUGGCCUGAUUGCUCCCUCUCCUGACCCCUAAGCAUGGUUACCUACUCAGGACUAAAACAAAACAAUCCAGAAAGAAUGCUUUCUAAGAAUAAAGAAAAACAAAACAAACGCCUCCCUUCCUUCACAUUCCUGCUACAUCAUUAUAUUUCAAAACUUAGCCAGAGUGCUUCAUUGCCUUAUUGGAAACAUGUUGAUGGUGGCCCAUUGCCAACAGGAUGAAGAUCAAAGUCUCUACAUGGCAUGGAAGGACCCUAACCACCUUGCAUGAACCUGCAAAGGAUCUGAUGCUAGUGACAUCUGAUGAGCUCUAGGGCCAUGGGUAAAUCCCUGAAUCACAGGGAGCAUCAUCUGUAAAGCAGUGAUAAUGAUACAUUUUUUCAUUUGUAAAGUGAUGAUUUAAAAAAAUAUCCUACCUCAUGGUAUCUUCAUGAAAAUGAAACAAGAUAAUGAAUGAAAAACACACUUGUCUGUCCAGUGCUUGGUAUAUAGUAGGCAUUUAAUUAUAUGUGCGUGAGUGUGCAUGUGUGUGUUUCAUGAAUUACCACUCCCCA